RNAcentral lists this transfer RNA (68 nucleotides) under bovine gut metagenome. It matches the Rfam family "tRNA", at positions 5 to 66 of the family's 71-position model. From Rfam's summary of the family: Transfer RNA (tRNA) molecules are approximately 80 nucleotides in length. Their secondary structure includes four short double-helical elements and three loops (D, anti-codon, and T loops). The record is from RNAcentral.
AGCUUAGCUCAGCUGGUUAGAGCGCCUGCUUCACACGCAGGAGGUCGCAGGUUCGAGUCCUGUAGCGC